RNAcentral lists this non-coding RNA (181 nucleotides) under Actomonas lomoniglobus. Its description in RNAcentral is "Opitutaceae bacterium LMO-M01 6S RNA". It matches the Rfam family "6S / SsrS RNA". Rfam says of the family: E. coli 6S RNA was the first non coding RNA to be sequenced, but its function was unknown until recently. It consists of 184 nucleotides that fold into an extended hairpin structure with a large single-stranded internal bulge. Lineage: Bacteria; Pseudomonadati; Verrucomicrobiota; Opitutia; Opitutales; Opitutaceae. The record is from RNAcentral.
GACACCCUGCCGUGUUCGAGGUGCCUUUAUACUGCUCUUUGCCUUUGAGAUACUUCGGGAACCGUAACGUGGUGGUCGAUGCCGGGCCGUAAAUCGGAAGGCUGAAACUGCUGCGGAAGGUGCCCACCUUAACCUAAAAAGGUCCUGAGCCUUUUGGCAUACGGCACAGUGCGGGGUGUAA